Molecule: ribosomal RNA, 505 nt
Filed under: uncultured bacterium
Lineage: Bacteria
Description: partial 16S ribosomal RNA
Rfam family: Bacterial small subunit ribosomal RNA
Source: RNAcentral
GACGAACGCUGGCGGCGUGCCUAAUACAUGCAAGUAGAACGCACAGUUUAUACCGUAGCUUGCUACACCAUAGACUGUGAGUUGCGAACGGGUGAGUAACGCGUAGGUAACCUGCCUGGUAGCGGGGGAUAACUAUUGGAAACGAUAGCUAAUACCGCAUAAUAUUAAUUAUUGCAUGAUAAUUGAUUGAAAGAUGCAACUGCAUCACUACCAGAUGGACCUGCGUUGUAUUAGCUAGUAGGUGAGGUAACGGCUCACCUAGGCGACGAUACAUAGCCGACCUGAGAGGGUGAUCGGCCACACUGGGACUGAGACACGGCCCAGACUCCUACGGGAGGCAGCAGUAGGGAAUCUUCGGCAAUGGACGAAAGUCUGACCGAGCAACGCCGCGUGAGUGAAGAAGGUUUUCGGAUCGUAAAGCUCUGUUGUAAGAGAAGAACGGGUGUGAGAGCGGAAAGUUCACACUGUGACGGUAUCUUACCAGAAAGGGACGGCUAACUACGUG